Eptesicus fuscus (big brown bat) is the source of this 414-nucleotide long non-coding RNA. RefSeq lists it as uncharacterized. The transcript is spliced from 4 exons. The record is from RefSeq and is a predicted model, not a curated record. Lineage: Eukaryota; Metazoa; Chordata; Mammalia; Chiroptera; Vespertilionidae.
GUCCUUUUUAUCAGAAGCAAACUGAGUUGAAUUUCUGUGACCAGCAACCAAAACCAAAAUGUGUGCAUAUGCCUAGUCCAUACUUAAUAACGGGCCAGCAACAAGUGAUGCCAAGACUUAUUAAUGACGCCAGAUCCCUGACCCAGCAGAAGUGUGAGCACACAGAGUAAGUAAAACCUGCCACAGACCAGGAGUGAUCCACAAACCAUUCUUGGCAUUCAUUCAGUUUCAAAGAGAACACCAUGUAUGAAUGAGGCACUUCUGAGAUCCGUACUCUCCCCUUUAAAGACCUCCUCUUUUCAAGGAACUUCAAUUCUUCUGACCAAAUGCACUCCUGCCACUUGUUUGUACCAGAGCUGACCUUUGGCAGAAUGCUGAAGAAUAAGGAAAUAAGGCGAGGCAGGAACAAGCACG